AAAGUCAUCUCCAUUAAAGGUCAGAGCUGCAAAAAAAAAUGUGUCUGCUGCAUAAUUGCAUCAUUACAUGAUUAUAUCUUGUGUCUUACCGCAGCCUUGGAGACCCGCAAAGAGGAACAAUGCAAAGGUGAUUGAGGUCAUUGUCUCGUCUGGAAUCAACAGCUUCUGGAGCGGAAUCUGCGCGAGGCGUAACAAAAUGCAGCUUUUAUGCCUUUCCCACCCGGUUUUAAGGGGGCGCUGGUGCCUCUCUCAGCUACAAUCGGACGGACGGCGGUGUAUACCCUGGACAAGUCGCCACCUCAUCGCAGUAAAAGGGUGAAGCUUUCCUAUGGAUCACAGCGGUCAAGCGAACAUGGAUCCCGACCAAAUGUCAACCAGCAGUUUUCGGUGAGAAAAUUGUGGUAAAAAGUCGCCUCUUACCGGAGAUCAGCUGAGCUUGUGCCGCCCAUAAAGCUGCCGUCGAAUUCCAUCAGACACUGGCGUCAAGACACCCGUGGACACACCCCUUCGACUAUCAGGUACUGUUAAACUCACUAAAACACUAGCAACACAAUAGAAAGAUAAGGGAUUUCCCAGAAUUAUCCUAGUAAAUGUGUCUAAAAACAUCUAAAUCGCUCCCAA
Long non-coding RNA from Nerophis ophidion (straightnose pipefish), 621 nucleotides. RefSeq lists it as uncharacterized. NCBI's taxonomy places the organism in Eukaryota, Metazoa, Chordata, Actinopteri, Syngnathiformes, Syngnathidae. The transcript is spliced from 3 exons. The record is from RefSeq and is a predicted model, not a curated record.